Molecule: small RNA, 97 nt
Filed under: Salix viminalis (osier)
Lineage: Eukaryota; Viridiplantae; Streptophyta; Magnoliopsida; Malpighiales; Salicaceae
Source: RNAcentral
GAACUUGUGAAAAACUAGUUAAUAAUUGUAGCGGAUCUACGUUAUUAAUCUUGGGAGACAUUCAUCAAACUAAACUUUAUUACAAACAAUUAUGUUU